RNAcentral lists this ribosomal RNA (590 nucleotides) under Massilia sp. T213BY8. RNAcentral describes it as "SSU rRNA". It matches the Rfam family "Bacterial small subunit ribosomal RNA", at positions 767 to 1362 of the family's 1533-position model. The record is from RNAcentral. Lineage: Bacteria; Pseudomonadati; Pseudomonadota; Betaproteobacteria; Burkholderiales; Oxalobacteraceae.
AGCAAACAGGAUUAGAUACCCUGGUAGUCCACGCCUUAAACGAUGUUUACUAGUUGUCGGGUUUUAAUUAACUUGGUAACGCAGCUAACGCGUGAAGUAGACCGCCUGGGGAGUACGGUCGCAAGAUUAAAACUCAAAGGAAUUGACGGGGACCCGCACAAGCGGUGGAUGAUGUGGAUUAAUUCGAUGCAACGCGAAAAACCUUACCUACCCUUGACAUGUCAGGAAUCCUGGAGAGAUCUGGGAGUGCCCGAAAGGGAACCUGAACACAGGUGCUGCAUGGCUGUCGUCAGCUCGUGUCGUGAGAUGUUGGGUUAAGUCCCGCAACGAGCGCAACCCUUGUCAUUAGUUGCUACGCAAGAGCACUCUAAUGAGACUGCCGGUGACAAACCGGAGGAAGGUGGGGAUGACGUCAAGUCCUCAUGGCCCUUAUGGGUAGGGCUUCACACGUCAUACAAUGGUACAUACAGAGGGCCGCCAACCCGCGAGGGGGAGCUAAUCCCAGAAAGUGUAUCGUAGUCCGGAUCGCAGUCUGCAACUCGACUGCGUGAAGUUGGAAUCGCUAGUAAUCGCGGAUCAGCAUGUCGCGG